ACGGCCAUACCACAUUGAAAACACCGGUUCUCGUCCGAUCACUGAAGUUAAGCAAUGUCGGGCCUGGUCAGUACUUGGGAGGGUGACCACCUGGGAACACCGGGUGCUAUAGGCU
RNAcentral lists this ribosomal RNA (115 nucleotides) under Cordylochernes scorpioides. Lineage: Eukaryota; Metazoa; Arthropoda; Arachnida; Pseudoscorpiones; Chernetidae. The record is from RNAcentral.